Non-coding RNA from Coffea arabica (coffee), 1212 nucleotides. The record is from RefSeq and is a predicted model, not a curated record. Lineage: Eukaryota; Viridiplantae; Streptophyta; Magnoliopsida; Gentianales; Rubiaceae.
GGUUGAUGGACACUGUAGUUUGCUCCUUGCUGGUGGCUAAAAUGCCGAAACCUCCCCAGACCCAGAGGGAAAUCUGGCGAAUGGUUGGGUUUACGCUGCGCAAAGUCACAAACACGUGUUGCAAGAAUUGGCAGUGUGCGUUGGAGACUUGUCCACAUAAACCGCAAGAAACCCACCCACCUUUCUACAAUUUCUUUCUUGGUUUUUGCCUUCCUAACCAUUUGGUAUUUCCUUUGCGUCUUCCUUGCUUAGUUGCUUCAUGCUUGCACCUUCAUUUCUUCUUCUUUCAGAGGUUAGAGUUUUGCUUUUAGACUACUACUAGUAUUACAUUCUUUUUUACCCUUUGUCUCUGUCCCUCUCUCUCCUUUUGUGUCAAUUUUUAUUCUUUUCUUCACUUUCACUGCAUUAUCCCAUCGCCACCCCCUCCAUAAAACUAUUCUUUUACUCCCAUUUUUUUAUACUUCCUUGAAUAGCCCAGUUCUGAAUUCUUUCCCUUUUCCCUGUUUUUACUGUAUACAAGAAACUAGCAAGGAGUACGGAGAGAAAGAAAACAAGACAGCCAAGGCAACUGCGUGAAAGAGUGAAAGAGAGAGACAGAUGGGAAGGCUGUUUGUGGUGAGCCUUGAAGGGAAGAUCUAUUGCUGCAAGCACUGUGGUACCCAUCUUGCCCUUUGGGAAGACAUCGUUUCCAAGAGCAAAUGUAACUGCUGGAGAGAAAGAAGAAAGAAUGAUGAUGACUGGACUGCACACUGUUGCUGACAUUUUCUGUGUCCGUUGUGGGUCCAUUGUUGGAUGGAAAUAUGAAACUGCCCAUGAAAAGGGUCAGAAGUACAAGGAAGGGAAAUCUGUACUUGAACGGUUUAAGAUUUCAGGCCCCGAUGGGAGCAACUAUUGGACGAGCCAUGAAGCAUAUGUAGGAGGAAGUGACGCCGAUGAUGUUUGAUUAUGAUUGAAAGCCAAUUUCCAUUUCCAACUGUACAUUCUUGCUACUGUUAUUGCUUUUUAUUGGACUAUUGGAUUCUUAAAUUGGUAAAUCCUCGUGCCCUGGAUUCCUCAGCUUGCUGAAAGGGAUCAUGUAUGUAAAUCUGCUGGACAAUGUUCAUAUUGUUUGACCGAACAUGGAACUUAUGGCCAUUGAUCACAAGUUCUAAAGCUCUUUUGGUUAUAACUAGAGAUGCAUCUGAUCAUCAAAACAUGGUUGGUGAAUGCUCA